This 1338-nucleotide ribosomal RNA is filed under the name Candidatus Methanogaster sp. ANME-2c ERB4. RNAcentral describes it as "Methanosarcinales archaeon ANME-2c ERB4 partial 23S ribosomal RNA". It matches the Rfam family "Archaeal large subunit ribosomal RNA", at positions 1607 to 2973 of the family's 2987-position model. The record is from RNAcentral. Lineage: Archaea; Methanobacteriati; Methanobacteriota; Methanomicrobia; Methanosarcinales; Candidatus Methanogasteraceae.
GUAUAAGCACUGAAUCCUGUGGAGAGCCGUAAUGGCGAGAAGCAGGCGAAUGUGUGAUGUCGAAAGUCGGCUGCACCCGGGAGCCCGUGAAAAGGGAGUUAAAUGUCCGUACCGAGAUCUGACACAGGUGCCCCUAGCUGAAAAGGCUAAGGCGUGUCGGAAUUAAACUGGUUAAGGGAAUUCGGCAAAUUGGCUCCGUAACUUCGGGAGAAGGAGUGCCUGCUGUGAAGACAGCAGGUCGCAGUGACCAGGGAGCUCUAACUGUCUAAUACCAACAUAGGAGAUCGCAAACCCGUAAGGGCUAGUACGAUCUCUGAAUCCUGCCCAGUGCAGGUACCUGAAACUUCGGUUCAACGGAAAGAAGGGCCUGUAAACGGCGGGGGUAACUAUGACCCUCUUAAGGUAGCGUAGUACCUUGUCGCUUAAUUGGCGACUUGCAUGAAUGGAUCAAUGAGAGCUCUACUGUCCCUAACCAGAGUCCGGUGAAGCUUACAUUCUAGUGCAGAGUCUAGAGACCUCUAGGGGGAAGUGAAGACCCCGUGGAGCUUUACUGCAGCCUGUCGUUGAGUUGUGAUUUUGGAUGUACAGUGUAGGUAGGAGACGUCGAAGCCCGCGCGCCAGCGUGGGUGGAGUCGCAAUUGGGACACUACCCUUUCAAGAUUACGACCCUAACUCCGUAAAGGAGGACCCCGAUAGGUGGGCAGUUUGCCUGGGGCGGGACGCCCUUGAAAAGAUAUCAAGGGCGCGCAAUGGUUGACUCAAGUGGGUCGGAAACUCACUGAAGAGUGCAAGAGCAUAAGUCAGCCUGACGUGAUUUAGCAACGUAGUGGAUCACGAGACGAAAGUCGGUUCUAGCGAACCUUUAUGCCUGCUUGGUGCGGGCUAAAGAUGACAGAAAAGUUACCCCGGGGAUAAUUGAGUCGUUGCCGGCAAGAGCACAUAUCGACCCGGCAGCUUGCUACCUCGAUGUCGGUUCUUUCCAUCCUGGCUGUGCAGCAGCAGCCAAGGGUGAGGUUGUUCGCCUAUUAAAGGAGAUCGUGAGCUGGGUUUAGACCGUCGUGAGACAGGUCGGUUACUAUCUACUAGAGGUGUAUGAGGUCUGAGGGUAAGUUGCUUUUAGUACGAGAGGAACAGAGCAACGGUGCCACUGGUCGAUCGGUUGUCUGACAAGGCAGUGCCGAGCAGCUACGCACUAAGGAAUAAGAGCUGAAUGCAUCUAAGCUCGAAAUCUAACCUAAAAAGAGACCUCGCUAAGAAUUCCGGUAAAAGACCGGGUUAAUAGAGUCGGGAUGUACGCACCAAGGCAACGAGGUGUUCAGUCCGCGACUACUAAUAUUC